UUAGUGGCGAACGGGUGAGUAACACGUGAGUAACCUGCCCUUAACUCUGGGAUAAGCCUGGGAAACUGGGUCUAAUACCGGAUAGGAGCGCCGACCGCAUGGUGGGUGUUGGAAAGAUUUAUCGGUUUUGGAUGGACUCGCGGCCUAUCAGCUUGUUGGUGAGGUAAUGGCUCACCAAGGCGACGACGGGUAGCCGGCCUGAGAGGGUGACCGGCCACACUGGGACUGAGACACGGCCCAGACUCCUACGGGAGGCAGCAGUGGGGAAUAUUGCACAAUGGGCGCAAGCCUGAUGCAGCGACGCCGCGUGAGGGAUGACGGCCUUCGGGUUGUAAACCUCUUUCAGUAGGGAAGAAGCGAAAGUGACGGUACCUGCAGAAGAAGCACCGGCUAACUACGUGCCAGCAGCCGCGGUAAUACGUAGGGUGCGAGCGUUAUCCGGAAUUAUUGGGCGUAAAGAGCUCGUAGGCGGUUUGUCGCGUCUGUCGUGAAAGUCCGGGGCUUAACCCCGGAUCUGCGGUGGGUACGGGCAGACUAGAGUGCAGUAGGGGAGACUGGAAUUCCUGGUGUAGCGGUGGAAUGCGCAGAUAUCAGGAGGAACACCGAUGGCGAAGGCAGGUCUCUGGGCUGUAACUGACGCUGAGGAGCGAAAGCAUGGGGAGCGAACAGGAUUAGAUACCCUGGUAGUCCAUGCCGUAAACGUUGGGCACUAGGUGUGGGGACCAUUCCACGGUUUCCGCGCCGCAGCUAACGCAUUAAGUGCCCCGCCUGGGGAGUACGG
This 781-nucleotide ribosomal RNA is filed under the name Micrococcus luteus. Its description in RNAcentral is "bacterial SSU rRNA". It matches the Rfam family "Bacterial small subunit ribosomal RNA", at positions 92 to 885 of the family's 1533-position model. Lineage: Bacteria; Bacillati; Actinomycetota; Actinomycetes; Micrococcales; Micrococcaceae. The record is from RNAcentral.